This 337-nucleotide unclassified non-coding RNA is filed under the name soil metagenome. RNAcentral describes it as "partial contains 5.8S ribosomal RNA, internal transcribed spacer 2, and large subunit ribosomal RNA". The stretch from base 1 to 120 matches the Rfam family "5.8S ribosomal RNA", at positions 35 to 154 of the family's 154-position model. The record is from RNAcentral.
GAUGAAGAACGUAGCGAAAUGCGAUACGUAAUGUGAAUUGCAGAAUUCCGUGAAUCAUCGAAUCUUUGAACGCACAUUGCGCCCCCUGGCAUUCCGGGGGGCAUGCCUGUCCGAGCGUCAUUUCUGCCCUCAAGCACGGCUUGCGUGUUGGGUGUGGUCCCCCCGGGGACCUGCCCGAAAGGCAGCGGCGACGUCCGUCUGGUCCUCGAGCGUAUGGGGCUCUGUCACUCGCUCGGGAAGGACCUGCGGGGGUUGGUCACCACCAUGUUUUACCACGGUUGACCUCGGAUCAGGUAGGAGUUACCCGCUGAACUUAAGCAUAUCAAUAAGCGGAGGA